This 427-nucleotide ribosomal RNA is filed under the name uncultured bacterium. RNAcentral's name for it is "partial 16S ribosomal RNA". It matches the Rfam family "Bacterial small subunit ribosomal RNA", at positions 355 to 774 of the family's 1533-position model. The record is from RNAcentral.
UGGGGAAUAUUGGACAAUGGGCGAAAGCCUGAUCCAGCCAUGCCGCGUGUGUGAAGAAGGUCUUCGGAUUGUAAAGCACUUUAAGUUGGGAGGAAGGGCAUUAACCUAAUACGUUAGUGUUUUGACGUUACCGACAGAAUAAGCACCGGCUAACUCUGUGCCAGCAGCCGCGGUAAUACAGAGGGAGCACGCGUUAAUCGGAAUUACUGGGCGUAAAGCGCGCGUAGGUGGUUUGUUAAGUUGGAUGUGAAAUCCCCGGGCUCAACCUGGGAACUGCAUUCAAAACUGACUGACUAGAGUAUGGUAGAGGGUGGUGGAAUUUCCUGUGUAGCGGUGAAAUGCGUAGAUAUAGGAAGGAACACCAGUGGCGAAGGCGACCACCUGGACUAAUACUGACACUGAGGUGCGAAAGCGUGGGGAGCAAACA